UCCGAAGGGGGCUAGCGUUGCUCGGAAUUACUGGGCGUAAAGCGCACGUAGGCGGCUUUCUAAGUCGGGGGUGAAAUCCUGGAGCUCAACUCCAGAACUGCCUUCGAUACUGGAAAGCUCGAGUCCGGGAGAGGUGAGUGGAACUGCGAGUGUAGAGGUGAAAUUCGUAGAUAUUCGCAAGAACACCAGUGGCGAAGGCGGCUCACUGGCCCGGUACUGACGCUGAGGUGCGAAAGCGUGGGGAGCAAACGGG
Molecule: ribosomal RNA, 253 nt
Filed under: uncultured bacterium
Lineage: Bacteria
Description: partial 16S ribosomal RNA
Rfam family: Bacterial small subunit ribosomal RNA
Source: RNAcentral